RNAcentral lists this long non-coding RNA (1176 nucleotides) under Calidris pugnax (ruff). RNAcentral describes it as "lncRNA (ENSCPUG00000017630.1)". The record is from RNAcentral. Lineage: Eukaryota; Metazoa; Chordata; Aves; Charadriiformes; Scolopacidae.
AUGGGGACAGGGAUGGGGACAGGGACACAGGCUCUGCUCCCCUCCAUGCAGCAUGCCCGUCACCAUCCUGCCUUGGAAAGGGCUCUUUGCAGCCAGAGAACCCACACAGGGGGGGGUCUGCAGCCCCUCCUGGUCCCUGGUCCCCAGGGGGCUCAGCCGAUAUGCCAGCAGGCAGGGAGCAGGCAGGGAACAGGCAGGGUGCAGGCAGGGAGCAGGCAGGGAGCAGGCAGGGUGCAGGCAGGAGCAGGCAGGGAGCAGGCAGGGUGCAGGCAGGGAGCAGGCAGGGAGCAGGCAGGGUGCAGGCAGGAGCAGGCAGGGAGCAGGCAGGGUGCAGGCAGGGAGCAGGCAGGGAGCAGGCAGGGUGCAGGCAGGAGCAGGCAGGGAGCAGGCAGGGAGCAGGCAGGGUGCAGGCAGGGAGCAGGCAGGGUGCAGGCAGGGAGCAGGCAGGAGCAGGCAGGGAGCAGGCAGGGUGCAGGCAGGGAGCAGGCAGGGUGCAGGCAGCUGCCUCUUCCCUCUACCACGUCCCCAUCACACGCUUUUUGGCUGCAGCAGAGGUGCUGGGGGUCCAAGGCAUCCAAAACACCUGGAGGCAGAGCAACCUGCCCCCCGCACACAGCUCCUCCCCGGGGCUGGUGCCCAGCACCCCACAGGGGACCCCAGAGCCCGGGUAGGGCACCCCCAUCCCACAGCGCACCCCGAGGCCGCUUUACUGGGGGUUGCACGUUUAAUGGCGGUGUCGCUGCGAAGGCAAAGCUCUGGCAAAGGCAGAAAGAGCCGGGAGACGCAGGGACCCGCUGGGCACCCGGGGGGACCCGCAUUGUCCCUCUCGCCCUUCCCAGGCCCUGGGGAGCCGCGGGAGGGAUGCGGCUGGUGCGGAUGCUGCGGGAGGGAUGCAGUUGGUGGGGAUGCUGCUGGAGCAGCGCCGGCCCAAAGCUCUGCAGCCCCUCUGCCAGGGGCAGGGGACAGCGAAACGGGGCUGUCUGUGCCCGCGGGGGGACAGGGCACGGCUGGCUGUGGGAGCUGCCUGUGCCCGCAGUGUGGGCAGCGCCAGCCCUCUCUGCAUUGCAGCAGCCUCCUGCCUGCACAGGGUCGGUGGCCGUGUCCCCAGCCCCCACCGAGGGCAGAGACACCCCCCCCUGCAAAUGCUGGCAGCGGCACGAGCUGCCCGGUGGGUGA